GCAAAGCCCAGGGGUCCGGCUUCCCAGCCAGUGGUCUCUCACAGACCCUCCUGGGUCCAGGCUCCCAGCCCCUGCUCUGGGGACCCAGAACUCACAUUUUGAAGAACACAGAAAUUCAGGCUUCGGGCCUCCUGUCCUAGGUGGACCUUCCUCUCCCAAGAUCCACGAGCCGGGCGGGCCCUCCCGGAGGCCGGCGGGGGGGCGGAGGUCCCAGCACCGCCCCGCCUCCCUUCGCCCGGGUCCCCACCACAUUCCUGAUGGCUGGGCUGACUUGAAGCCCUUAUAAGGCCCGGAGACGCUGCGCGGGGCCUGGCCGUCCGCCCCCGCAGCCACCGCCCAGGGCCCUCCCGCCCGUCCGCCCCGCGGCCUUCCCCAGCUGCGGCAGGCUUAAGAUCACUCACGCCCCCGCCCGCCCGCGUCUUUUCCAGGUGUCGGACUUAAUCCACCUCCAGAGCCGGAUCUUUAGCCCUCGGGGUUCUUGGCAGAGACUGCAGGUGAGUGAGUCUGGACUCCCCAUCGGAGGGGAGAAGGGCUGGGGGCCUGCACUCCUGGGUCUGAGAGAGGAGGGAGCUUCCCACCUAGACUCUGUGUUGGAGGGAGGAGCAUCUGGGGCCUGGACUCUGAGAUUCCGAGAGAAGGACCUUGGAGCUGGGUUUCCUUGGAAAGAGAUCCAGACACUUGUUUACCUGGGAAAACAGUGUGUCCAGGAAAUGGGCUUCCAGGUCUUGGGACCUCUUGCAGGGACAGCUGGGCAAGCUAGAACCUGUUCUACUGUCCUAUAGGCCCUCCUGUGCCUGCCCAUGGAAGGAGGAAGUUUUAUUUCCCUGAAACUGAGAGAAGCCUUCUGAGCUUUUUAGGGGUGGAGGGCAACAGGGCAGAUGUCAGAGGCCUGAGGGAGGAUUUGGAUACCCGGUCCCCAAGACACUGGGCCCUCUCUCCCUGAGGGUCUCUAGGACAAGGAGAUAGAAGUUGUAGGUUCUGGAGGGACAGAAAAAAGAAGCUGAUUUUCUAGACUACAGGUGUCUGGUGAACUCAAGGUCCAGGGCCCAGAGUCCUGAGGUCUGAAGCUCUGUGACCAGACGUGAGAGGCCUGGAGAUUUCAGUGGAAGAGGCUGGGGCACUGGACAGUUGGAGAAUCUGGAGUGCUUGAGUUUCUUGGAAGUUAGGGAACUUGGAGAUUGGACUCCAUGUGGGGGAGGGGCAUAGGUAGAAGGAAGCUCAGUGUCCUUGGGGGUAGUGCUCCAGCCCUGUAUCCCAGGUGAGACUGCAAUGGAAGUCACGGACCCUUGAUCUCUCUGGUAGAGGGUGGACUUGAGAGGGCAUGUUCCCAAGAGCUUAGCCCCAGUUCCAGAGACAGGCUGGGAGUUCAGGAGCUCUGAUCACAUGUGGGUCCCUGAGAAGUUUCCCACGUGGAGGUUGGACUCUUGGAUGUCUGGAGGCUGGAAAUGCCUGUUGGGUGAAGGAAGGCAGGUGCUCACAGGAGCAG
This is a long non-coding RNA of Neogale vison (American mink), 1486 nucleotides long. The record is from Ensembl. NCBI's taxonomy places the organism in Eukaryota, Metazoa, Chordata, Mammalia, Carnivora, Mustelidae.